Long non-coding RNA from Perognathus longimembris pacificus (Pacific pocket mouse), 146 nucleotides. RefSeq lists it as uncharacterized. The record is from RefSeq and is a predicted model, not a curated record. NCBI's taxonomy places the organism in Eukaryota, Metazoa, Chordata, Mammalia, Rodentia, Heteromyidae. The transcript is spliced from 3 exons.
CUUCUCUAGUUCCAGUAAACAUAUGUGCAAUACCAAGGGUACCGAAAUCAGUAACAGUGACAUCAAGGUUUGUAAAGCCAUGGGGAAGAAAGACAAAAUAAAAAGACAUAAUUUCACAUGGCACUGUUGAAAAGAACAAUGACAAU